GACGGAGGAUGCAAGCGUUAUCCGGAAUGAUUGGGCGUAAAGCGUUCGCAGGUGGCUGUUCAAGUCUGCUGUCAAAGACCGGGGCUUAACCCCAGAAAGGCAGUGGAAACUGAACGGCUGGAGUGCAGAUCGGGUAGAGGGAAUUCCCAGUGUAGCGGUGAAAUGCGUAGAGAUUGGGAAGAACACCGGUGGCGAAAGCGCUCUGCUGGACUGCAACUGACACUGAGGGACGAAAGCGUGGGGAGCAAACAGG
Molecule: ribosomal RNA, 253 nt
Filed under: uncultured bacterium
Lineage: Bacteria
Description: partial 16S ribosomal RNA
Rfam family: Bacterial small subunit ribosomal RNA
Source: RNAcentral